CCCUACAAGUGCCUGUAGGGCUGGGAAUAAACAUAUAAAUGUACCCAUGGAAUGGUCUGGAAUGUUCUCUGUGCCCUACAAAUACCUGUAGGGCUGGGAUAAACCUGUAAAUGUCCCCAUGGAAUGGUCUGGAAUGUUCUCUGUGCCCUACAAGUGCUGUAGGGCCGGGAGUGAAGGUCCCAUGGGGCGUGCUGUGUGACCCCAGCCAUGGUGCCACCAGGGCAGGUGGCACUGCCAGGGAUGGCGUGCAGCCAGGGCUGUGCCCCACAUGUCCCCACAGUGUUCUUGUGCCCCACAGCCUGUCCUUGUGUCCCCACAGUGUUCUUGUGCCCCACACCCUGUCCCCAUGUCC
RNAcentral lists this long non-coding RNA (352 nucleotides) under Parus major (Great Tit). RNAcentral's name for it is "lncRNA (ENSPMJG00000003549.1)". Lineage: Eukaryota; Metazoa; Chordata; Aves; Passeriformes; Paridae. The record is from RNAcentral.